AGAACGAACGCUGGCGGCAGGCUUAACACAUGCAAGUCGAACGGUUGUAGCAAUACAGCAGUGGCAGACGGGUGAGUAACACGUGGGAACCUUCCUAGGGGUACGGAACAACUCAGGGAAACUUGAGCUAAUACCGUAUACGUCCGUGAGGAGAAAGAUUUAUCGCCCCUAGACGGGCCCGCGUAGGAUUAGGUAGUUGGUGAGGUAACGGCUCACCAAGCCUACGAUCCUUAGCUGAUCUGAGAGGAUGAUCAGCCACACUGGGACUGAGACACGGCCCAGACUCCUACGGAGGCAGCAGUGGGGAAUCUUGGACAAUGGGCGCAAGCCUGAUCCAGCCAUGCCGCGUGAGUGAAGAAGGCCUUCGGGUUGUAAAGCUCUUUUACCAGGGACGAUAAUGACGGUACCUGGAGAAUAAGCCCCGGCAAACUUCGUGCCAGCAGCCGC
This 447-nucleotide ribosomal RNA is filed under the name uncultured soil bacterium. RNAcentral's name for it is "bacterial SSU rRNA". It matches the Rfam family "Bacterial small subunit ribosomal RNA", at positions 26 to 518 of the family's 1533-position model. The record is from RNAcentral.